AGGCCUCCUGUUUGAGAUGGAGGGGUCAUAUCUCGGCUUACAGAAACGAUGUAAUGUCCAUGUAAGAGAUCAAUUGCAUCCUGUUUUAUACCAUCAGAGAAGUUAUUGAAAUAAUAGCGAGCAAGUGCAUUCCAACCAUCUUUAAGGAUCCCUUGGGCUGUCCUCUGGCCACAUCUUACAAAAUCUCCUUUUAAAGCAGGAGUUCCAGAAUAUUGAAUGCUUAUGUCAUCCCCAUGAUUGGCCCACAAUAUUUUAAAGCUUUCAUCAAAAUUUGGAUGUGAGCUAAUUGUUUCUUCUGCACCAAAAACACCAAUCCUUCUAAGUUGGAUUUCUAACAUUCUUCGACCAAUCAUGCUCUGGGUAACAUUUGUACGGUCUAAGCAAUCAAUGCAGUUGGUCCUUACAACCCCAAUUUGCUCCUUUAUUUUCUCAUCCUUUUCAUUCAAAAAAAGGUACCCACUUUUCUCAAGGAAAUCUGCAAUUUGGUCAUAAAGGAUAGA
This 500-nucleotide unclassified non-coding RNA is filed under the name Hevea brasiliensis (rubber tree). Lineage: Eukaryota; Viridiplantae; Streptophyta; Magnoliopsida; Malpighiales; Euphorbiaceae. The record is from RNAcentral.